CUGGGUCAGGAAGUCCAAACAAGAUGUCCUGAACUGGGACAGCUUGUAACAACCCUUUUGGGUUAUAGCACCACUAGGGGGGGUUGCCCUACUAUUGUAGUAGUUGUGGGAGUCUCCUGGUGGGUGGGUGUUGUUAGCGGCAGCCAUUCUAUGCUGCUCAUGUUCUUUCCUCUGUAAGGAAACCUUACCGUUGUGACCAACUGGCGACGGCGACUACCAUGUAUGUACGGACAGAGUAGAGCCGUGGAGACCUGGCUUAUGAGGUGUAAUGUUGCCACACCAAAUAAAGGUCUGUUAUUGGAUUUAACCGACUGGCUUCGGGUUAUUCGGCUAACCUCCACACCCCAUGCCCGCUGGACCUGCUAGCCGCUCCCGCCUCGCCAGACUGCUGUUACAAAGUGGCGCCCGAACAUUGUUCUCUGGAUCUUCAUCGUCAUCCGGACCGACAGACGGUGGGCUCGGAUAUUUUUCCCGUGUUUUUCAACGAUCGACACUUCGGCUGAGGUGGCGUGUUUUUUUUUCUCUUCGUCUGGCUGUAUUGGCCGGGCCGAUAGGACGCCGUGAAGGAGCCGACUCCCCGCGAUUUCAACUAUUUACAGGCACGGAGGAACACCGACUCAUCGCUUGACACGCUCGCCCGCCGAAGGAGAGUACUCCGUGAGUAACUGUACGGUCCGUCGGGCCACCAACGCAGUGCUAUUGGACCGUUACGACAUCGGCGGCGCUAAAGCUAAGGCUAACGCUACAGUGACCUUGACUCAGUGUUCAUUCAGAGGGACGUGUUGUCUUGUGUGACACAUUGAAGCAUCAGAGUGUGCAUGGACGCUCUCUGUCUUACUGAUAUUAACGCUUAGGUACUGUGUCUGAACGCUCUUUCACUUCGCUAUAACUUUUGUGAGAGAGAGUUGUUUCCACACUUAAAAUGGCGUCCCGCGCGGACACGGGGAGUGAGGAAGAUGGCUGUGACCCGGAUGCUGAGGCGCCUGGCCUUACAAAGUACAUCAUCCCUCACUCUACGCCUCUUGACCUCAACCUUGCAGUGGGAAACUUGGAAGGAGAUGUCGAGAAGCCACGAAUUUGCUUACAGGAUUCACUGGAGCCACAAAGGAGCCUACUGGAGCCACAAAGGAGCCUGCUGGAGUGUUUGGAUCAUGGAGCUAGGGGAGAGCCGGGAGAGUGGCCAUCUCCCCAACAAACCCCGCCGGUGCCCCGUAAUGACCGCUGGUUGGACGGGUACCAGGUGGACUAACCGUUAUCAUACGGACAGACUCAAUGUUGACUGAGGGUUGGUUUCAUACAUGAAUGUGAGCAGAUAGGAGGGUGGACUGGACGGAGAAGAUUUGAAUGGAGCAUCACAUUGGGGUGCUGGGAGAAGAGAGCCAUCAUAAUGUUCAGUUAUUGUCACAGUAUAUAAGCCCAUGUACAGCCAGUUUCAGGGUUAUACUUGGUGUGAGGCAGGCUGUUGUAUUACACUGGGGUCCGGUGCUGUAAACUUGUAAUUUCAACUGCUAAAGUAAAUUAAAUCUUUUUAAGCUACAGAGAUUUCUCCUGAAUUCCUUCUGCUGUUUGCUGCUGUUCGGUAUAUUUUGGUUAGAGCCUGAUGAAACUUGCAGUUUUGGAAUCUGUGCUUUCAGAGUAAUUGUUUGUCCAUGAAUGCUGUCGGCCGAACGG
Molecule: long non-coding RNA, 1671 nt
Organism: Oreochromis aureus
Lineage: Eukaryota; Metazoa; Chordata; Actinopteri; Cichliformes; Cichlidae
Source: Ensembl